AGAGAAAGCUCUAUUAGCAAUUUAAAAUGACAAAUAUGGGAGGAGACAGCUCACUGUUAGUAAAUGUGGGCAUCACAAGGCACAGAAGGAUUCAAUGCCCCCACAGUCCCACCCCUGAACUUCAGAGAGGAAGGUGAAUAGAAAGACAUGAAGGUAGAAUAAUCUCGGGGCUUAAAGGAAGGAAAGCAUGCUGCAAUUGCUCUCUGUACUGAAGCAGAGAUAAAUAUUAUGUAAGCUCCUGUAUUUGUGGAUCAUGCAGAAAUAUUCUAUCUUCAAACAAAUUUGGAAAAUUCUGGUUUCCACAGAGCCGAACAGGUGGUUCUACUCCAGAACUUCUCAAAAUCUUCAGGGUGUUAAUGUUCAGCUUGCUGUCAGAAUGUUGUACAAAUGUUUCUCAAAUGUGCUUGACCAUGGAACCCUGAGACAGCACAAGUAACAUUGGUCAGGACAGUGUUUGGGAACCCCCUGUUUAACUAUUUGUGUCUAUUUUGUAUAAUCCUUCCAAGAACCGAAAAGCAUUGGAAGGAAAGAUAAAACUUUUCUGUCCCUUACAUGUCCCUCCCUCAUUUGACCUGAAGAUUUUUUUUUCCUUUUUCUUAGAAAUUACUGAGGAAACUAUUUAAUUGAGGUUUUUGCCAUGGAAGGUACUUUUACACCAACCUAAUACUUUUCUUCAUAUAGACAUCAUCUCUGAAGUGUUUUGGAAUUGUUAUUCUUCAUUUCAUUAUUAGUUGUUUUCAGAAUUUUCCUUUUUAUUUAAAAAUAAUUGAUCCAUGUUUUUACUGUAAACCAUUUUAAUCUUUAAAAAAAAUAGGCAGUGUAUGAAUUUUAAAUUAUCCAUGUUGUAUUAUUUCAUUUUCCAAUUUAGGAAGUAGACAUUCCGCACAAUUUAUGACAGAAUUGUUAAACAUUAG
This 914-nucleotide long non-coding RNA is filed under the name Homo sapiens (human). RNAcentral's name for it is "HSALNT0041939". The record is from RNAcentral. Lineage: Eukaryota; Metazoa; Chordata; Mammalia; Primates; Hominidae.